GACGAACGCUGGCGGCGUGCUUAACACAUGCAAGUCGAACGGAAAGGCCCUGCUUUUGUGGGGUGCUCGAUUGGCGAACGGGUGAGUAACACGUGAGUAACCUGCCCUUGACUUUGGGAUAACUUCAGGAAACUGGGGCUAAUAUCGGAUAGGAGCUCCUGCUGCAUGGUGGGGGUUGGUGAGUUUCGGCGGUUGGGGAUGGACUCGCUGGUUAUCCGCUGGUUUGUGGGGUAGGGGCUUACCAAGGCUUUGAGGGGUAGCCGGCCUGAGCGGGUGGCCGGCGACCAUGGGCCUGCGAUACGGCCCAGAAUCCUACGGGAGGCAGCAGUGGAGAAUAUUGCAGAAUGGGCGGAAGCCUGAUGCAGCAACGCCGCGUGCGGGAUGCCGGGCUUCGGGUUGUAAACAAAUUUCGAAUGUGACAAAGAGUGAGUGACGGUAAUGGGUAAAGAAGCCACGGCUAACUACGUG
RNAcentral lists this ribosomal RNA (468 nucleotides) under uncultured bacterium. RNAcentral's name for it is "partial 16S ribosomal RNA". It matches the Rfam family "Bacterial small subunit ribosomal RNA", at positions 28 to 507 of the family's 1533-position model. The record is from RNAcentral.